This 225-nucleotide long non-coding RNA is filed under the name Prunus persica (peach). RNAcentral describes it as "long non-coding RNA (PPER_LNC002908)". Lineage: Eukaryota; Viridiplantae; Streptophyta; Magnoliopsida; Rosales; Rosaceae. The record is from RNAcentral.
ACUCUUCCUCUUGCAAUAUCCUUUUGGCUUCACAUGAAAGUUUGAUCCUAUUGAUUGAAGUUCAGAAGAUGGUGAAGAAGAAGAACAUCAUCAUGGUAUGCCGAAGCGGUGUUAUAUAUAUAUAUGUGUGUGUUACACCAUUGUCAAACGUAUAUAGUGACAACAGAUACAUAUUUGUACCUUUUGGUUAGGUAGAAUAUGUGUACCUUAAUUACAUGUGUAGAG